Molecule: ribosomal RNA, 253 nt
Filed under: uncultured bacterium
Lineage: Bacteria
Description: partial 16S ribosomal RNA
Rfam family: Bacterial small subunit ribosomal RNA
Source: RNAcentral
UACAGAGGUCUCAAGCGUUGUUCGGAUUCAUUGGGCGUAAAGGGUGCGUAGGCGGCGGGGUAAGUCUGGUGUGAAAUCCCGGGGCUCAACCUCGGAACUGCACUGGAUACUGCCUUGCUUGAGCACUGGAGAGGGAACUGGAAUUUACGGUGUAGCAGUGAAAUGCGUAGAGAUCGUAAGGAAGACCAGUGGCGAAGGCGAGUUCCUGGACAGUUGCUGACGCUGAGGCACGAAGGCCAGGGGAGCAAACGGG